UGGGGAAUUUUGGACAAUGGGCGAAAGCCUGAUCCAGCAAUGCCGCGUGUGUGAAGAAGGCCUUCGGGUUGUAAAGCACUUUUGUCCGGAAAGAAAUCCUUGGCUCUAAUACAGUCGGGGGAUGACGGUACCGGAAGAAUAAGCACCGGCUAACUACGUGCCAGCAGCCGCGGUAAUACGUAGGGUGCAAGCGUUAAUCGGAAUUACUGGGCGUAAAGCGUGCGCAGGCGGUUUGCUAAGACCGAUGUGAAAUCCCCGGGCUCAACCUGGGAACUGCAUUGGUGACUGGCAGGCUAGAGUAUGGCAGAGGGGGGUAGAAUUCCACGUGUAGCAGUGAAAUGCGUAGAGAUGUGGAGAAUACCGAUGGCGAAGGCAGCCCCCUGGGCCAAUACUGACGCUCAUGCACGAAAGCGUGGGGAGCAAACAGGAUUAGAUACCCUGGUAGUCCACGCCCUAAACGAUGUCAACUAGUUGUUGGGGAUUCAUUCCUUAGUAACGUAGCUAACGCGUGAAGUUGACCGCCUGGGGAGUACGGUCGCAAGAUUAAAACUUAAAUGAAUUG
This 562-nucleotide ribosomal RNA is filed under the name uncultured bacterium. RNAcentral's name for it is "partial 16S ribosomal RNA". It matches the Rfam family "Bacterial small subunit ribosomal RNA", at positions 355 to 912 of the family's 1533-position model. The record is from RNAcentral.